UACAGGGGGGGCAAGCGUUGUUCGGAAUUACUGGGCGUAAAGGGCUCGUAGGCGGCCAACUAAGUCCGACGUGAAAUCCCCAGGCUUAACCUGGGAACUGCGUCGGAUACUGGUUGGCUUGAAUCCGGGAGAGGGAUGCGGAAUUCCAGGUGUAGCGGUGAAAUGCGUAGAUAUUGGAAAGACCACCGACGGCGAAGGCACUUUACUGGGCCAUUACUGACACUAAGAGACGAAAGCUAGGGGAGCAAAUGGG
Molecule: ribosomal RNA, 253 nt
Filed under: uncultured prokaryote
Description: partial 16S ribosomal RNA
Rfam family: Bacterial small subunit ribosomal RNA
Source: RNAcentral